RNAcentral lists this ribosomal RNA (497 nucleotides) under uncultured bacterium. RNAcentral describes it as "partial 16S ribosomal RNA". It matches the Rfam family "Bacterial small subunit ribosomal RNA", at positions 28 to 507 of the family's 1533-position model. The record is from RNAcentral.
GAUGAACGCUGGCGGCGUGCCUAAUACAUGCAAGUCGAGCGAACAGACGAGGAGCUUGCUCCUCUGACGUUAGCGGCGGACGGGUGAGUAACACGUGGAUAACCUACCUAUAAGACUGGGAUAACUUCGGGAAACCGGAGCUAAUACCGGAUAAUAUAUUGAACCGCAUGGUUCAAUAGUGAAAGACGGUUUUGCUGUCACUUAUAGAUGGAUCCGCCCCGCAUUAGCUAGUUGGUAAGGUAACGGCUUACCAAGGCGACGAUUCUUAGCCGACCUGAGAGGUUGAUCGGCCACACUGGAACUGAGACACGGUCCUGACUCCUACGGGAGGCAGCAGUAGGGAAUCUUCCGCAAUGGGCGAAAGCCUGACGGAGCAACGCCGCGUGAGUGAUGAAGGUCUUCGGAUCGUAAAACUCUGUUAUUAGGGAAGAACAAAUGUGUAAGUAACUAUGCACGUCUUGACGGUACCUAAUCAGAAAGCCACGGCUAACUACGUG